GAGGAAUAUUGCGCAAUGGGGGCAACCCUGACGCAGCGACGCCGCGUGGAUGAUGAAGGCCUUUGGGUCGUAAAAUCCUGUCAGAUGGAAAGAAAUGUAUAUAUGCUAAUAUCGUAUAUAUUUGACGGUACCAUCAAAGGAAGCACCGGCUAACUCCGUGCCAGCAGCCGCGGUAAUACGGAGGGUGCAAGCGUUGUUCGGAAUUACUGGGCGUAAAGCGCGCGUAGGCGGUUUGCUCAGUCAGAUGUGAAAGCCCUCGGCUUAACCGGGGACGUGCAUUUGAAACUGGCAGACUUGAGUAUUGGAGGGGGUGGUGGAAUUCCCGGUGUAGAGGUGAAAUUCGUAGAUAUCGGGAGGAAUACCGGUGGCGAAGGCGACCACCUGGCCAAAUACUGACGCUGAGGUGCGAAAGCGUGGGGAGCAAAC
RNAcentral lists this ribosomal RNA (426 nucleotides) under uncultured bacterium. Its description in RNAcentral is "bacterial SSU rRNA". It matches the Rfam family "Bacterial small subunit ribosomal RNA", at positions 356 to 773 of the family's 1533-position model. The record is from RNAcentral.